RNAcentral lists this ribosomal RNA (500 nucleotides) under uncultured bacterium. RNAcentral describes it as "partial 16S ribosomal RNA". It matches the Rfam family "Bacterial small subunit ribosomal RNA", at positions 30 to 523 of the family's 1533-position model. The record is from RNAcentral.
AUUGAACGCUGGCGGCAUGCCUUACACAUGCAAGUCGAACGGCAGCACGGGAGCAAUCCUGGUGGCGAGUGGCGAACGGGUGAGUAAUAUAUCGGAACGUGCCCAGUCGUGGGGGAUAACGUAGCGAAAGCUACGCUAAUACCGCAUACGAUCUAUGGAUGAAAGCGGGGGAUCGCAAGACCUCGCGCGAUUGGAGCGGCCGAUAUCAGAUUAGGUAGUUGGUGAGGUAAAGGCUCACCAAGCCGACGAUCUGUAGCUGGUCUGAGAGGACGACCAGCCACACUGGGACGGAGACACGGCCCAGACUCCUCCGGGAGGCAGCAGUGGGGAAUUUUGGACAAUGGGCGCAAGCCUGAUCCAGCAAUGCCGCGUGCAGGAUGAAGGCCUUCGGGUUGUAAACUGCUUUUGUACGGAACGAAACGGCGAGCUCUAAUACAGUUUGCUAAUGACGGUACCGUAAGAAUAAGCACCGGCUAACUACGUGCCAGCAGCCGCGGUAA